UACGUAGGGGGCAAGCGUUGUCCGGAAUCAUUGGGCGUAAAGAGCGUGUAGGCGGUCCGGUCAGUCGGUUGUGAAAGUCAAGGGCUCAACCCUUGAAUGCCGGCCGAUACUGCCGGGCUAGAGUCCGGAAGAGGUGAGUGGAAUUCCUGGUGUAGCGGUGAAAUGCGCAGAUAUCAGGAGGAACACCGAUGGCGAAGGCAGCUCACUGGGACGGUACUGACGCUGAGACGACGAACGUGGGGAGCAAACAGG
This 252-nucleotide ribosomal RNA is filed under the name uncultured bacterium. RNAcentral's name for it is "partial 16S ribosomal RNA". It matches the Rfam family "Bacterial small subunit ribosomal RNA", at positions 524 to 776 of the family's 1533-position model. The record is from RNAcentral.